Mus musculus (house mouse) is the source of this 65-nucleotide non-coding RNA. The record is from Rfam. Lineage: Eukaryota; Metazoa; Chordata; Mammalia; Rodentia; Muridae.
GAGAGCAAACAGCUCUUUUAGAACUUUUCUAGCAGGUUUCUAGUUUUUGGUUGGAAAAAAUCCAA